Molecule: ribosomal RNA, 387 nt
Filed under: uncultured bacterium
Lineage: Bacteria
Description: bacterial SSU rRNA
Rfam family: Bacterial small subunit ribosomal RNA
Source: RNAcentral
GACGAACGCUGGCGGCGUGCUUAACACAUGCAAGUCGAGCGGUAAGGCCCUUUCGGGGGUACACGAGCGGCGAACGGGUGAGUAACACGUGGGUGACCUGCCCUCAGCUCUGGGAUAAGCCUGGGAAACCGGGUCUAAUACCGGAUAUGACUCCAUGACGCAUGUUGUGGGGUGGAAAGCCUUGUGCGGCUGAGGAUGGGCCCGCGGCCUAUCAGCUUGUUGGUGGGGUGAUGGCCACCAAGGCGACGACGGGUAGCCGGCCUGAGAGGGCGACCGGCCACACUGGGACUGAGACACGGCCCAGACUCCUACGGGAGGCAGCAGGUGGGGAAUCUUGCGCAAUGGGCGAAAGCCUGACGCAGCGACGCCGCGUGAGGGAUGACGGCC